UUCAGACCCGCCGUGCAGGCGCAGCGCUUAAAAAUUCUGCGGGAUUUAGAUUUGGGUGGCCCUCCUAAAGUGCACAUCUCGCCUUCCUGAGGAACCCUCUGGCACCGUCCUCCGCUGGGGAAUUGAACACAGCACCAGCCCUCUUCACAGUCACUGGCUGUAUCAUCCGGCUUGUUUUUACGACCUUGUCUCUUCUUUGUGCCCUUGCAUCUGUUUCCCUGGAUUCAGGGAAGAGAUAAGUAAGAGCUUUAUGGGACAGCAGAGAAGUAAGAGUGAGUGAUGUGGAAUGAAUGAAGUCUGCAUCCUGCUUGGCUCAUUACAGUGAUGUCUAGUUUGUUACACCAUACUUAACCAAGGCUCACACUGUCAAGCAGCGGGAAUCAGAAUCCACAACGGAAAACAACUAUCACAAGCCCUGAAGCGGAAAAAGAUUAGAGCUGGAGCAGGCGAUGAGAAGACAUGGUAGUAUUCAGGGAGAACCUAAACUAUCAUUCAGAAAUGGAGGGAAAAGAGAUAUGAGGAGAAAAAGAAAAGAAGAGAAAAAAACAACAACAACAACAGCUGGAAAACUGUAAACAACUUUAGAGGCAAGUAGAAUAAAUGUCCACAUAAUAAUCAGAAAUAUCAUGUUGAUUUUUUAUUUAUUUAUUUUUUUUGUUUACUGUGUAUAUCUUAAUAUCCA
This is a long non-coding RNA of Ictalurus punctatus (channel catfish), 682 nucleotides long. Lineage: Eukaryota; Metazoa; Chordata; Actinopteri; Siluriformes; Ictaluridae. The record is from Ensembl.